AUGGCGUCGCGGGCGCUCGCUAGAGCCGCUUGGGGGCUUCCCCCUCCAUCUCCUCCGGCCUCGAAGGCCCUCGGGGUCAACGAUGACGGCAAAUCCGGCCAAGCAGAGAGGGCCCUUGACCUGUUCGACGCAAUGCCUAGCAAGAACCAGGUGGCUUGGAAUGCCGCGCUCGUCGACGCCGGCCGUACCGAGCAGGCACUGUCCUUCUUCAGUGAGAUGUCCAAGAAGAACGCGGCCUCAUACACCACCAUGAUCGGGGGCCUGUCCCAUGCCAGGGCGGUCACCACGGCGCACCGUCUCUUCGACCAGCUACCACUGGAUGGGCAUAAUGUGUUCACCUGGACGGCCAUGCUGUCUCGCCAUGUCCGCAAUGGUGAGCCCGAUAGAGCUGUUGAGCUUUUUGCAGUCCUCUAG
Molecule: ribosomal RNA, 414 nt
Filed under: Triticum aestivum (bread wheat)
Lineage: Eukaryota; Viridiplantae; Streptophyta; Magnoliopsida; Poales; Poaceae
Description: partial small subunit ribosomal RNA
Source: RNAcentral